This 3358-nucleotide ribosomal RNA is filed under the name Salicibibacter kimchii. RNAcentral's name for it is "bacterial LSU rRNA". It matches the Rfam family "Bacterial large subunit ribosomal RNA". The record is from RNAcentral. Lineage: Bacteria; Bacillati; Bacillota; Bacilli; Caryophanales; Bacillaceae.
AUGUGGUUAAACAAGGAAGGGCGCACGGUGGAUGCCUUGGCACUAGGCGCCGAUGAAGGACGGGACGAACACCGAUAUGCUUCGGGGAGCUGUAAGUAUGCGUGGAUCCGGAGAUGUCCGAAUGGGGGAACCCCUUCUCCGUCAUGGGAGAAGAUCAUCUGCCCAACAGAUUAAGCAGAUGAAGGCAAACCCGGCGAACUGAAACAUCUUAGUAGCCGGAGGAAGAGAAAGCAAACGCGAUUUCCUGAGUAGCGGCGAGCGAAACGGAAGGUAGCCCAAACCAAGCGGCUUGCCGCUUGGGGUUGUAGGACACGCCAUAUGGAGUGAUAAAGGGACGGUGUAGCGGAAGCGACUUGGAACGGUCCGUCGCAGAAGGUAAGAGCCCUGUACGCGAAACACUGUCCUCUCCGGCGUGGAUCCUGAGUACGGCGGGACACGAGAAAUCCCGUCGGAAUCCGGGAGGACCAUCUCCCAAGGCUAAAUACGCCCUAGUGACCGAUAGUGAACCAGUACCGUGAGGGAAAGGUGAAAAGCACCCCGGGAGGGGAGUGAAAGAGAACCUGAAACCGUGUGCCUACAGGUGGUCAGAGCCCGUUCAUGGGUGAUGGCGUGCCUUUUGUAGAAUGAACCGGCGAGUGACGAUGACGUGCAAGGUUAAGUUGAAGAGACGGAGCCGCAGCGAAAGCGAGUCUGAAGUGGGCGAGUGAGUACGUCGACGUCGACCCGAAACCGUGUGAUCUACCCAUGUCCAGGGUGAAGGUCGGGUAACACCGACUGGAGGCCCGAACCCACGUAAGUUGAAAAUUACGGGGAUGAGGGGUGGGUAGGGGUGAAAUGCCAAUCGAACACGGAGAUAGCUGGUUCUCCCCGAAAUAGCUUUAGGGCUAGCCUCGGAGGAAAGAGUCCUGGAGGUAGAGCACGGAUUGGAUGAGGGGUCCCUACAGGAUUACCGAGUUCAGUCAAACUCCGAAUGCCAGCGACUUGUUCUCCGGGAGUCAGACGGCGAGUGCUAAGAUCCGUCGUCAAGAGGGAAACAACCCGGACCACCGGCUAAGGUCCCCAAGUAUGGGUUAAGUGGGAAAGGAUGUGGCGUUGCUUAGACAACCAGGAUGUUGGCUUAGAAGCAGCCAUCAUUGAAAGAGUGCGUAAUAGCUCACUGGUCGAGUGACGCUGCGCCGAAAAUGUACCGGGGCUAAACCCAUCACCGAAGCCGUGGAUGCUGGAAGUCGGAAGUGAGAAGUGAGAAGUCGGAAAAGGAGUCAAAAGAUGAUUAAAGGCUAUCGAGAUUUACGUGUUUAUCAGGAGGCGUAUCAACUCGGAAAAGACAUUCAUCAAGUGACUCAGCCAUUUCCGAAAGAGGAACAAUAUGAGAUAGGGCGUCAACUUCGAAGAGCUGCAUUGUCGAUCCCCUUAAAUAUUGCCGAAGGAUACGGAAAGAAGCAGUCAACAGCUGAUUUUAAACGUUUCCUUUUGAUAGCCAUGGGAUCAGCCAAUGAAGUUGAAGUGCUCCUUGAUUAUGCCAGAGAUUUCAACUAUUUAUCUGAUGAAGCGUAUAACGAAUACUUUGGACGAUAUGUUCGACUAGGGAAACAGUUAAAUGCUUUGCAUCAAAAAUGGGUUUGAACUUCUCUGACCUCUCACCUCUGACCUCUGACUUCCAGCAUGGUAGGGGAGCGUUCUGUAGGCAGAGAAGGUCGACCGAGAGGACGGCUGGAGCGUACAGAAGUGAGAAUGCCGGUAUGAGUAGCGAAAAGAAGGGUGAGAAUCCCUUCCGUCGAAAACCUAAGGUUUCCUGAGGAAGGCUCGUCCGCUCAGGGUUAGUCGGGGCCUAAGCUGAGGCCGAAAGGCGUAGGCGAUGGAUAACUGGUGGAAAUUCCAGUACCACCGAUGGCUGUUGGACCGAAGGGGGGACGCAGAAAGGUAGGGAGAGCGCGCUUAUGGAAAAGCGCGUCGAAGCGUCCGAGGCUGUUGGGCAGGCAAAUCCGCCCAACGAGAAGGCUGAGGCGUGACCGCGAGGGAAAAUGAGUACCGAAGUCCCUGAUCCUCCGCUGCCGAGAAAAGCCUCUAGGAAGGUCAUCGGUGCCCGUACCGCAAACCGACACAGGUAGGUGGGAUGAGAAUUCUAAGACGCGCGGGAGAACUCUCGUUAAGGAACUCGGCAAAAUGACCCCGUAACUUCGGGAGAAGGGGUGCUCUUGCGGGUGCAAGCCUGCGGGAGCCGCAGUGACAAGGCCCAAGCGACUGUUUACCAAAAACACAGGUCUCUGCGAAGUCGAAAGACGAAGUAUAGGGGCUGACACCUGCCCGGUGCUGGAAGGUUAAGAGGAGGGCUUAGCCCAAAAGGGCGAAGGUCCGAAUUGAAGCCCCAGUAAACGGCGGCCGUAACUAUAACGGUCCUAAGGUAGCGAAAUUCCUUGUCGGGUAAGUUCCGACCCGCACGAAAGGUGCAACGACUUGGGCACUGUCUCAACGAGAGACCCGGUGAAAUUAUAUGACCUGUGAAGAUGCAGGUCCCCCGCGACUGGACGGAAAGACCCCAUGGAGCUUUACUGUAGCUUGAUAUUGGGUUUUGAUAUUGCUUGUACAGGAUAGGCAGGAGCCAAGGAAUCCGGAGCGCUAGCUUCGGAGGAGGCGCUGGUGGGAUACUGCCCUUGCGAUAUGAAAAUCCUAACCUCGAGCCGUGACCCGGUUCAGGGACAGUGUCUGGUGGGCAGUUUGACUGGGGCGGUCGCCUCCUAAAAGGUAACGGAGGCGCCCCAAGGUUCCCUCAGAAUGGUUGGAAAUCAUUCGUAGCGUGCAAAGGCAGAAGGGAGCUUGACUGCGAGACAUACAGGUCGAGCAGGGACGAAAGUCGGGCUUAGUGAUCCGGCGGCACCGCAUGGAAGGGCCGUCGCUCAACGGAUAAAAGCUACCCUGGGGAUAACAGGCUAAUCUCCCCCAAGAGUCCACAUCGACGGGGAGGUUUGGCACCUCGAUGUCGGCUCAUCGCAUCCUGGGGCUGAAGUCGGUCCCAAGGGUUGGGCUGUUCGCCCAUUAAAGCGGUACGCGAGCUGGGUUCAGAACGUCGUGAGACAGUUCGGUCCCUAUCCGUCGCGGGCGCAGGAAAUUUGAGAGGAGCUGUCCUUAGUACGAGAGGACCGGGAUGGACACACCGCUGGUGUACCAGUUGUUCCGCCAGGAGCAUGGCUGGGUAGCUACGUGUGGAUCGGAUAAGUGCUGAAAGCAUCUAAGCACGAAGCCGACCUCAAGAUGAGAUUUCCCGCGAGACCCCUUAAAGACGAUAAGGUAGAUAGGUCUGGUGUGGAAGCGUGGCGACACGUGGAGCUGACAGAUACUAAUCGGUCAAACGGUUUAUCCA